UUUUUUGAGAGUUUGAUCCUGGCUCAGGAUGAACGCUAGCGGCGUGGAUAAGGCAUGCAAGUCAAGGGGUCCUUCGGAGUCCGCAAGGACGAAGGAGGAAACCGGCGAACGGGUUAGUAACACGUAGAUACUUACCCCAAAGACGGGCAUAAUCCCGCGAAAGCGGGAUUAAUUCCCGAUAGACCCUGAGAGCAAUCGAAGGGUAAAGGAGCAAUCCGCUUUGGGAGAGGUCUGCGGCUCAUCAGCUAGUUGGCAGGGUAAUGGCCUACCAAGGCGAUGACGGGUAGGGGAUAUGAGAGUGUGUUCCCCAACAAGGGCAUUGAGAUACGGGCCCUACUCCUACGGGAGGCAGCAGUCGAGAAUAUUGGUCAAUGGGCGAAAGCUCGAACCAGCGACGCCGCGUGCUUGAAGAAGCCCUUCGGGGUGUAAAAAGCUUUUCUGGGGGAAGAACCUUCGGGUGACGGUACCUCAGGAAUAAAGGGAUGCUAAUCACGUGCCAGCAGCCGCGGUAAUACGUGAUCCCUAAGCGUUAUCCGGAUUUAUUGGGCGUAAAGGGUCCGUAGGCGGUCCGUAAAGUUUUUUGUUAAAUAUCAAGGCUUAACCUUGAAAGUGCAAAAAAAACUAACGGACUAGAGGACGUUAGAGGUUGAUGGAACGGUCGGUGUAGGGGUGAAAUCCGUUGAUAUCGACCGGAACACCAAAAGCGAAGGCAUUCAACUAGGACGAUCCUGACGCUGAGGGACGAAAGCGUGGGCAUAAAAAAGGAUUAGAUACCCUUGUAUACCACGCUGUAAACGAUGGACACUAGCUAUUUCGGAGUGUCGACCCUUCGAGUGGCGAAGCUAACGCAUUAAGUGUCCCGCCUGGGAAGUACGACGGCAACGUUAAAACUCAAAGGAAUAGACGGGGUUCCACACAAGCGGUGGACCAUGUGGCUUAAUUCGACAACAAGCGAAGAACCUUACCAGAGCUUGACAUUCAGCUGAAAUCCCGCUGAAAGGCGGGACUCCCACAAGGCGGCUGAACAGGUGCUGCACGGCUGUCGUCAGCUCGUACUAUGAAGCGUACGCUUAAGUGCGGUAACGAGCGCAACCCUCGUCCUGCGUUACAAGUGUCGCGGGAAACUGCCCGGGAUAACCGGGAGGAAGGCGAGGAUGACGCCAAGUCAGCGUGGCCUUUUGAUGCUCUGGGCGGCACACGUGGUACAAUGGGGCCGACAAUGGGCGAAGCCGUAAGGCAGAGGUAAUCCCAUCAAACGGUCUCUCAGUUCGGAUUGAGGUCUGCAACUCGACCUCAUGAAGUUGGAAUCGCUAGUAAUCGCCGAUCAGCCACGCGGCGAUGAAUAUGUUCCUGGAACUUGUACUCACCGCCUGUCACACCAGGAGAGCUGGCAAUACCCAAAACCCCCGCCCUAGGCGGGGACUAAGGUAAGGUCAGUGAUAAGGGUGAAGUCAUAACAAGGCAUGCGUAGGGGAACCUGUGCAUGGAUCAUUUCAUUU
This 1499-nucleotide ribosomal RNA is filed under the name Candidatus Nealsonbacteria bacterium CG10_big_fil_rev_8_21_14_0_10_36_24. RNAcentral describes it as "bacterial SSU rRNA". It matches the Rfam family "Bacterial small subunit ribosomal RNA". The record is from RNAcentral. Lineage: Bacteria; Candidatus Nealsoniibacteriota.